UACGUAGGUGACAAGCGUUGUCCGGAUUUACUGGGCGUAAAGAGCGCGCAGGCGGUCGAUCAAGUCGAGUGUGAAAGCCCCCGGCUCAACUGGGGAGGGUCAUUCGAUACUGAUCGACUCGAAGGCAGGAGAGGGUAGUGGAAUUCCCGGUGUAGUGGUGAAAUGCGUAGAUAUCGGGAGGAACACCAGUGGCGAAGGCGACUACCUGGCCUGUUCUUGACGCUGAGGCACGAAAGCGUGGGGAGCAAACAGG
RNAcentral lists this ribosomal RNA (253 nucleotides) under uncultured bacterium. RNAcentral's name for it is "partial 16S ribosomal RNA". It matches the Rfam family "Bacterial small subunit ribosomal RNA", at positions 524 to 776 of the family's 1533-position model. The record is from RNAcentral.